GGUCGGUUAGCUCAGCUGGUUAGAGCGUCCCGUUGACAUCGGGGAGGUCGGGGGUUCGAGUCCCUCACCGACCA
This 74-nucleotide transfer RNA is filed under the name Patescibacteria group bacterium. RNAcentral describes it as "tRNA-Val". It matches the Rfam family "tRNA". Rfam says of the family: Transfer RNA (tRNA) molecules are approximately 80 nucleotides in length. Their secondary structure includes four short double-helical elements and three loops (D, anti-codon, and T loops). The record is from RNAcentral.